RNA transcript from Hibiscus syriacus, 1873 nucleotides. RefSeq lists it as uncharacterized. Lineage: Eukaryota; Viridiplantae; Streptophyta; Magnoliopsida; Malvales; Malvaceae. The transcript has 15 exons. The record is from RefSeq and is a predicted model, not a curated record.
AAUUUAGACGACCUCCAUUGGGAUUAUCUACAACCAACAGGAAACAAACUCCAUUUAAUACCAAAGAAGAGAGUUGAACCACUUUGUGCUGGGUGGGUGUGUCUUUAGGGUUUCUUUGCAGGUGGCAAAUGGCAGCCUCUCGGCUCGUGAUUUUCUCCGUCUUUCUGGCCCUAGUUUUCACCCAGAUUAGAGCUGAUGUCUCAACCGAACCACUGCUUGAAUCGGACGCCUCCGGUUUUUCUGCUCUGAAGGCGGAGUUGGAUCAAUUGAAGUCCAAGAUCUCUCUUCUUGAGUCAAAUCUUGAGGAGAAAAUUGGAGAACUGAAAGCCAAGGACGAGAAAAUAAAGGAGAAAGAUGAAAUUAUUCUAGUCAAAUCUGACAACGUUGCAUCGUUGCAAACUGAAUUAUCAUCUCUUCAGAAAAAGGGAACAUCUGAUACCAAGGACAGGGUGGGAAAAGCUCAUGCGCAGGCACUUGAAUUGCAGAAACAGGCUGAUAAGCUUAAAAGUGAAUUAGAAGCAAAAUUAAAGGAAAAAAAUUCUUUGGAAGCCCGUGCAACUAAAGCUGAGAAUAAGUUGGAUGAAUUGAAUUUGAAGCUAGAGAAUCUUCAGAAGGUCAAUAAGGAGCAGGUGAACAAAAUAGCAAAAACUGAGCGAGCUCUAAAAAUUGCGGAGGAAGAAUUAAUUAAGACAAAGUUUGAGGCCACUUCAAAGGCAAAUGAAUUGUUGCAGGUUCACACGGCAUGGUUCCCACCUUGGCUUGCUAAGCAGUUAAACCGUGGUCAGGCCUUCAUUCAGACACAUUGGAGCGAGCGUGGAAAACCAACCUUGGAUUUGGUGAUGCAGAAGGCUCUUGAGAAAAAGGCCUUAGCUAAAAAGUGGGCUGAUCCCCACAUGGAAACAAUUAAAACUAAAUGGGUUCCAGCUAUUAAAGGUCAGUGGGUGGUGGUAACUACCCAUGCUAAACCACAUGUGCAAUCAUUAAAAGCAAAAACCGUCGAAGUUUAUGAGGCAUCAAAGACUGCAGUAACUCCUCAUAUUGACAAAGCUCAUGAAAUAGUUGAUCCUUACUUCCAAGAAGCAAAGAAGUUCAGCAAGCCAUGUAUUGAUCAUGUUGCUACUUUAGCAAAGCCUCAUGUUGAUAAAGUUUGUGUGGUGAUGAAGCCAUAUACAAAGGAGAUAGUUAAUGCUUAUGGGAGAUUUUUGGAAUCAGCAACAACAUACCAUCAACAGGUCCAAGCUUCUGUGCAAGAGACUUUGAAGAAGCAUGAGCUGACCAGACCUUUUGCAACCAAAGAGCUGGAGUGGUUUGCGGCUUCUGCUUUGUUGGCUCUACCUAUUAUUAUUUUGUUCAGAAUAUUUUCAGCCAUUUUCCGCAAGAAGGAAAAGAAGCGUGCUCGACAUGCUAAUACAACUAAUGGUCGUCGCAGGGGCAAAAGGGGGCACACAGACAAGUAGACUGCGUGUGUUUACGUUUUGGCCUCUUAAUGUUGGAAAUAUUAGAGGUAUUCUUCUACAAUUGCAUAAACCAAAGAUUAGGGUAAACGUUGAUAGAAGAGGCAGGUUAGCUGGUCGUGUUGUUUUUAGAGGCUCUAGAUUAUCAAGCAGUGGUGUUGCCAUUAGAAGUGACAAAUCUUCUCUUACCCCACAAGCUCCCCUGUUUUUGUUAUUUUUUGUGGGGGUGGAGGAAAUUUGAAAGAAAAAAAAUAUUAAGGACCCUAUUCACGCUACAAAGUUGAAAUCUUGAGAUUCAUAGUUGUAGGACUUGUGUAUUUUAUUUUAUCUUUUAUGGAUUCACAAAUGAAACAACUCGUCUCUGUUUCAGAACUUGUCAUACUUAAAGUUGAGACAUCCAUGGGGAUGAAUUUUGUGUC